UGCAGUCGAGCGGAUUGAAGGGAGCUUGCUCCCUGAUAUUAGCGGCGGACGGGUGAGUAACACGUGGGCAACCUGCCCUGCAGAUGGGGAUAACUCCGGGAAACCGGGGCUAAUACCGAAUAAUCGGUUCUUCCGCAUGGAAGAACUCUGAAAGACGGUUUCGGCUGUCACUGCAGGAUGGGCCCGCGGCGCAUUAGCUAGUUGGUGGGGUAAUGGCCUACCAAGGCGACGAUGCGUAGCCGACCUGAGAGGGUGAUCGGCCACACUGGGACUGAGACACGGCCCAGACUCCUACGGGAGGCAGCAGUAGGGAAUCUUCCACAAUGGACGAAAGUCUGAUGGAGCAACGCCGCGUGAGCGAAGAAGGUUUUCGGAUCGUAAAGCUCUGUUGCGAGGGAAGAACAAGUACGGGAGUAACUGCCCGUACCUUGACGGUACCUCGUCAGAAAGCCACGGCUAACUACGUGCCAGCAGCCGCGGUAAUACGUAGGUGGCAAGCGUUGUCCGGAAUUAUUGGGCGUAAAGCGCGCGCAGGCGGUCCUUUAAGUCUGAUGUGAAAGCCCACGGCUCAACCGUGGAGGGUCAUUGGAAACUGGAGGACUUGAGUACAGAAGAGGAAAGCGGAAUUCCACGUGUAGCGGUGAAAUGCGUAGAGAUGUGGAGGAACACCAGUGGCGAAAGGCGGCUUUCUGGUCUGUAACUGACGCUGAGGCGC
This 715-nucleotide ribosomal RNA is filed under the name Sporosarcina sp. Its description in RNAcentral is "bacterial SSU rRNA". It matches the Rfam family "Bacterial small subunit ribosomal RNA", at positions 56 to 754 of the family's 1533-position model. The record is from RNAcentral. Lineage: Bacteria; Bacillati; Bacillota; Bacilli; Caryophanales; Caryophanaceae.